Molecule: long non-coding RNA, 750 nt
Organism: Panthera uncia (snow leopard)
Lineage: Eukaryota; Metazoa; Chordata; Mammalia; Carnivora; Felidae
Exons: 2
Source: RefSeq, a predicted model, not a curated record
UACCUAAAUUAAUACAAAGAACAAUUUAGUCAAACAAGGCUUUCAAUUUCAUAAAGCUUUCAUGAAAUAAGUGGGUCAUUCUCAACUGUAGAAAUAAAACAGGCACACCCAUUCAACCACCCAAGCUACACUUUAUCACAAAUAAACCUACAAAUAAAUGAAAACUAGUUCUCAAGCACCAUCUCCACUUUUUCCCCUCCACAAUUAUUGGACUCCAAGAAACUAGAACACCCUCUUUCUUUGAAUAUGAGCAACUUGUCAAAAUAGUAUACUUUUGACUGAUUUCAUUUUUGUUCCUGUAGAUAACCACACCUCUGAAACAGGUGCUAAAGCCACCAUAGGCCCAACAGGCCAGUUCUGUUUUGUAUAAAGAACUCUUGAAACUCCCAAGAAAACAAGUAACUGAAUUUAAAAAUCAGCAAAAGACCUGAACAUACAUCUCACCAAAAAUAUACUGAUGGCAAAUUUCUAGAACACUCCUGUGAUGAACCAUGGCUUGUCAUGGUGGUAAAACUGAGGCCCUGAAUGUAAGACCAAAGGAAAAAAUGGUAUUCUUUGACCUGCUUUUCUUUGCUUCAUUUUUUUACCUGCUCCUGGACAUCUUCAAACUCUGAGCUGAGCAACUCUAUGAAGAUGGGCACAGCUCCUGCCUGAAUCACAAUCCGGGUCUGAAGAGAAUUUCCUGAAGCAAUAUUUGUCAGUACCCAAGCUGAUUCAAACUAUAAAGAUAAAAAUAAUUUUAUUAUCUUA